This 1025-nucleotide ribosomal RNA is filed under the name Salmonella enterica. Its description in RNAcentral is "partial 23S ribosomal RNA". The record is from RNAcentral. Lineage: Bacteria; Pseudomonadati; Pseudomonadota; Gammaproteobacteria; Enterobacterales; Enterobacteriaceae.
AAACGAGCAGUAAAACCUCUACAGGCUUGUAGCUCAGGUGGUUAGAGCGCACCCCUGAUAAGGGUGAGGUCGGUGGUUCAAGUCCACUCAGGCCUACCAGAUUCGCUCCYGUGCUUUGUUGUGGCAAAGCUCGCAUACUUCAGUAUGCUUCGCUUCACCACGCCGCGCCCGGAAACGAAUCAAAGGUAAGAGGUUCUGACUACACGAUGGGGCUAUAGCUCAGCUGGGAGAGCGCCUGCUUUGCACGCAGGAGGUCUGCGGUUCGAUCGUCACACUAUCAUUAACUGAAUCCAUAGGUUAAUGAGGCGAACCGGGGGAACUGAAACAUCUAAGUACCCCGAGGAAAAGAAAUCAACCGAGAUUCCCCCAGUAGCGGCGAGCGAACGGGGAGGAGCCCAGAGCCUGAAUCAGCAUGUGUGUUAGUGGAAGCGUCUGGAAAGGCGCGCGAUACAGGGUGACAGCCCCGUACACAAAAGCGCAURUGCUGUGAGCUCGAUGAGUAGGGCGGGACACGUGGUAUCCUGUCUGAAUAUGGGGGGACCAUCCUCCAAGGCUAAAUACUCCUGACUGACCGAUAGUGAACCAGUACCGUGAGGGAAAGGCGAAAAGAACCCCGGCGAGGGGAGUGAAAAAGAACCUGAAACCGUGUACGUACAAGCAGUGGGAGCACAGGUUUACCUGUGUGACUGCGUACCUUUUGUAUAAUGGGUCAGCGACUUAUAUUCUGUAGCAAGGUUAACCGAAUAGGGGAGCCGGAGGGAAACCGAGUCUUAAUUGGGCGUUAAGUUGCAGGGUAUAGACCCGAAACCCGGUGAUCUAGCCAUGGGCAGGUUGAAGGUUGGGUAACACUAACUGGAGGACCGAACCGACUAAUGUUGAAAAAUUAGCGGAUGACCUGUGGCUGGGGGUGAAAGGCCAAUCAAACCGGGAGAUAGCUGGUUCUCCCCGAAAGCUAUUUAGGUAGCGCCUCGUGAAUUCAUCUCCGGGGGUAGAGCACUGUUUCGGCUAGGGGGCCAUCCCGGCUU